CCCUUAGAUGUUCUGGGCUGCACGCGCGCUACACUGAUGCGUUCAACGAGUGUAUCACCUUGCCCGAUAGGGUUGGGUAAUCUUUUGAACACGCAUCGUGAUGGGGAUAGAUUAUUGCAAUUAUUAAUCUUCAACGAGGAAUUCCUAGUAAUGAUGAAUCAUCAGUUCAUCGUGAUUACGUCCCUGCCCUUUGUACACACCGCCCGUCGCUCCUACUGAUUGAGUGUCUCGGUGAAUUCUUUGAUUCUCUGUCGAUUCAGUUCACUGAUCCGACGGUGGAAAGUUGAAUGAACUUCGUCACUUAGAGGAAGGAGAAGUCGUAACA
RNAcentral lists this ribosomal RNA (325 nucleotides) under uncultured eukaryote. RNAcentral's name for it is "partial 18S ribosomal RNA". It matches the Rfam family "Eukaryotic small subunit ribosomal RNA", at positions 1470 to 1796 of the family's 1831-position model. The record is from RNAcentral.